This is a non-coding RNA of Saimiri boliviensis boliviensis (Bolivian squirrel monkey), 697 nucleotides long. The record is from RefSeq and is a predicted model, not a curated record. Lineage: Eukaryota; Metazoa; Chordata; Mammalia; Primates; Cebidae.
GUAGUCCAAAGGCUGAGACGCGGUCAAACCAGCCACGAUGCGAACCUAGGAAUUCUUCGCUUCAAGCCUGGUGCUGGCUGUUAGUUUGGAACUCAUGCACCCAGAUGCUAACUCGCCCUCAGAAUGCAGAGGGGAUGAAACACUGACGGGACAUUUCAAUCUGUAUAUGGCCGCCGCCAUGAAUAUCGAGCUGUGCAGUUUCAGCGUGUACAAGAUCUACCCCGGACAGGGAAGGCGUUACGCCAGGACCGACGGGAAGGUUUUCCAGUUUCUUAAUGCAAAAUGCGAGUCGGCGUUCCUUUCCAAGAGGAAUCCUCGGCAGAUAAACUGGACUGUCCUCUACAGAAGAAAGCACAAAAAGGGACAGUCGAAAGAAAUUCAAAAGAAAAGAACACGACGAGCAAAUUCCAGAGGGCUAUUACUGGUGCAUCUCUUGCUGAUAUAAUGGCCAAGAGGAAUCAGAAACCUGAAGUUAGAAAGGCUCAACGAGAACAAGCUAUCAGGGCUGCCAAGGAAGCAAAAAAGGCUAAGCAAGCAUCUAAAAAGACUGCAAUGGCUGCUGCUAAGGCACUUACAAGGGCAGCACCUAAGCAAAAGAUUGUGAAGCCUGUGAAAGUUUCAGCUCCCCGAGUUGGUGGAAAACGCUAAGCUGGCAGAUUAGCUUUUUAAAUAAAGAUUGGAUUAUUAAAAAAAAAAA